Molecule: ribosomal RNA, 262 nt
Filed under: uncultured bacterium
Lineage: Bacteria
Description: partial 16S ribosomal RNA
Rfam family: Bacterial small subunit ribosomal RNA
Source: RNAcentral
CAGAGGGAAGCGAGCCCGCGAGGGGGAGCGAAUCCCAAAAACAAACGUCCCAGUUCGGAUUGUAGUCUGCAACUCGACUACAUGAAGCUGGAAUCGCUAGUAAUCGCGGAUCAGAAUGCCGCGGUGAAUACGUUCCCGGGUCUUGUACACACCGCCCGUCACACCAUGGGAGUCGGGAAUGCCCGAAGCCAGUGACCCAAGCGAGAGGAGGGAGCUGCCGAAGGCGGGACAGGUAACUGGGGUGAAGUCGUAACAAGGUACC